AGCUUUUGGCUCGGGUUAUA
Molecule: microRNA, 20 nt
Filed under: Ophiophagus hannah (king cobra)
Lineage: Eukaryota; Metazoa; Chordata; Lepidosauria; Squamata; Elapidae
Description: oha-miR-208-5p
Gene: oha-miR-208-5p
Source: miRBase by way of RNAcentral